RNAcentral lists this ribosomal RNA (584 nucleotides) under uncultured bacterium. RNAcentral's name for it is "bacterial SSU rRNA". It matches the Rfam family "Bacterial small subunit ribosomal RNA", at positions 338 to 916 of the family's 1533-position model. The record is from RNAcentral.
CCUACGGGAGGCAGCAGUGAGGAAUAUUGGACAAUGGAGGCAACUCUGAUCCAGCCAUGCCGCGUGCAGGAAGACGGCCCUACGGGUUGUAAACUGCUUUUAUACAGGAAGAACUAUGCCUACGUGUAGGCAUUUGACGGUACUGUACGAAUAAGGAUCGGCUAACUCCGUGCCAGCAGCCGCGGUAAUACGGAGGAUCCAAGCGUUAUCCGGAAUCAUUGGGUUUAAAGGGUCCGUAGGCGGUCUGGUAAGUCAGAGGUGAAAUCCUGCAGCUCAACUGUAGCAUUGCCUUUGAUACUGCCAGACUUGAGUUAUUGUGAAGUAGUUAGAAUGUGUAGUGUAGCGGUGAAAUGCAUAGAUAUUACACAGAAUACCGAUUGCGAAAGCAGAUUACUAACAAUAUACUGACGCUGAGGGACGAAAGCGUGGGUAGCGAACAGGAUUAGAUACCCUGGUAGUCCACGCCGUAAACGAUGGAUACUAGCUGUUCGACCAACAUUGGUUGGUUGAGUGGCUAAGCGAAAGUGAUAAGUAUCCCACCUGGGGAGUACGCUCGCAAGAGUGAAACUCAAAGGAAUUGACGG